Long non-coding RNA from Rhincodon typus (whale shark), 648 nucleotides. RefSeq lists it as uncharacterized. Lineage: Eukaryota; Metazoa; Chordata; Chondrichthyes; Orectolobiformes; Rhincodontidae. The record is from RefSeq and is a predicted model, not a curated record. The transcript is spliced from 3 exons.
UAUAAGAGACAGAGCGUAAGCAAGGAGACGACGGUUUGGCUUCAAUUUAAAAAUCAAAUUAACGGCUUUAUCAUCAAACAUGAUGAACGGGGCCGUGACUUUAACUUCAACGGAGGGAGAGAGUUUACCUCAGGAGACAGGCUCCUCAUCAAGUGAGACCUACAAAUCACCAUUUUAGCACGAAUUCAGUGUAAGUACCUCAGGCAGGCAAACCUAUUUGAAUUGGAUUGCAGAUGAAACAAUUUAGAUAGCUCAGCUUGCCUGAAAUUAGUGAGGAGAUGCAGGGGAAUACAUAUGCACUGGUAAUUUUCUACCACGGUUUAAAGUGUGUAAAUAAAUAUCUGCUGAGGAUAGAUCACGUUGAGUUAAGAUGGUCAAGACUGCCAACACUCAUCAUCUAGCUGUGAAGAAUGGUUGUUCGGAUGAUAUAUUGAAGCAUGGUUGGUACCCGUGGAACUGUAUCUCUGAAAAUAUUGCCAACCUCAGCAAACAGUCGAAGAACAUCAGAAAAAAAAUAGUGCUGCAGGCCUUUGUAUAAUCUCAUGUUAGCAAUGAUGAUCUAUUACUGUAUAUAUCUUUAAUGAAUGUUAAAUGGGAAAACUUUGAAGGCAAGUACCUGUAAUGAAUAAAUUCUACAUUCUAACUUAA